CCUCCCCCUCAUUCUCUCUCUCUCUCUCUCUAUAUAUAUAUAUAAUUUUAUUUAUUUAUUAUAUAUAGUAUUUAUUAUUUAUAAAAUUUUAUUUAUAAAUAUAUGUUUAUUUAUUAUGUAUAGUAUUUUAUUUUUAUAUAGAUAUAUUAUUAUAUAAUAAUUUAUUAUAUAAUUUAUUAUUUAUUUUUAUAAAAUGUAAAAUAUAUAAAUAAAUGUUAAAUAAUUUAGACUAUUGAUAUUAAAUAUAAAUAUUAAUUUUAUAAUAUUAAGCAUUCACAUAUAAAUUGUACAUUAAAAAAUAAAAAAAAUAAUGCAACUUAAGUUAAUUUUAUAUUUGAUUAAAAUUAAUUGCGAGAAUCACAAAUUAUAUUUUCUCUUCUCAUUCAUUAACUACUGGGGGCCUACGAUACCUACUAAAAUUAUUUCACUAACUAAUGGGGGAUUACUAUGCCUAUUAAAAUUUUUUGAUGUAUUUAUUGCAUCAUUUAAAUUCUGAAAUUAAUUUUUAUAAUUAAUUUUUAAAAUUAAAUUUUAAAAUAACUAUCCGCAGCAUCGCACGGGUCCCUUAACUAGUUUUAAUUUUAUUUGCUAUAAAGUAACUAAAAUUAUUAGUUUUAUUAAAUUAUCUAUAAACUUGAUAAAAUCUUUAAUUUACUCAACUUAAAUUUUUGAAAUUAGAGGGUGUCGAUCAAAAUUACCAGGGCUCGAUUUCGAAACAUCUCACAGUUGAGGGGUCUCCGUACAUAUUUAGCUCGACGAAGAGUAGGGCUGGCAAACGAGCGAGCCUGCUCGCGUUCGACUCGUGUUCGGCUCGAUUUUCGGCUCGCUUGAGCUCGACUCGAAAUUAAAUGAGCCGAGCUUGAACAAAAUAAAAGGCUCGAAAUUCAUUUCAAGCCGAGCUUGAGUAUUACUCGGCUCGUUCGAAUUAGGCUCGAAAAGCUCGAAAAGCUCGAAUAUAUAUAUAUAUAUAUAUAGGGUUUAGGGUUUAGGUAUUUAUAAAUAUAAAAUAUUUAUAACUAUAAUGUAUUUUAAUUAUAUAUAGGCUUUAAUUUAAUUUGGGCAAUUAUUGUUGGCCCAUAAAAUAAACCCAACAAGUACAACCGUGCAAUUGAGCCAAACUCUAAAUUUACAUAACACACUCUCUUUCAGAUUUUUACUGUUGCACGUAAUCCUAAAAUAUGAUAAUAUUCAAAUUUUCAAAUCCCUAAUUUUUUUCUCCCCUCUCUCUCUCUCUCUCUCUUAGACCCUCACCCAGUCAGGCAGUCACCCUAGCUCACAUUUCUUGCAAUUAUUUUGUAUUUUUGAACUAUUGGACAUGUUGCAUCAAAUUAUAGGUAAUGUUCUAUAAAAAUUAAAUUAUUGAUUAUAUAAUGUCGAGAAUUUCAAUAGACUCGUUUAGAGCUCGAACUCGGCUCAACUCGAAAUUAAGCUCGCUCGAGCUCGACUCGAAUUAAUUUCAAGCCGAGCUUGAGCCUAGAUUUAGACUCGAAAUUAAUUUCAAGCCGAAUUUGAGCUGACAUAAGCUCGCUCGAGCUCGGCUCGUUUCCACC
This 1550-nucleotide long non-coding RNA is filed under the name Ananas comosus (pineapple). RNAcentral's name for it is "long non-coding RNA (ACOM_LNC011706)". The record is from RNAcentral. Lineage: Eukaryota; Viridiplantae; Streptophyta; Magnoliopsida; Poales; Bromeliaceae.